CCCUUAGAUGUUCUGGGCCGCACGCGCGCUACACUGAUUUGUCCAACAAGUUCUUCCUUGACCGAGAGGUCUGGGUAAUCUUGCAAUCCAAAUCGUGAUGGGGAUUGGUCCUUGUAACUCUUGACCAUGAACGAGGAAUUCCUAGUAAACGCGAGUCAUCAACUCGCAUUGAUUACGUCCCUGCCCUUUGUACACACCGCCCGUCGCACCUACCGAUUGAAUGGUCCGGUGAAAUCUUCGGAUAACAGCAGGUCCCCUUCAUUGGGGACCUAAUGUCAGAAGUUGAUUAAACCUUGCUAUUUAGAGGAAGGUAAANUCGUAACA
This 324-nucleotide ribosomal RNA is filed under the name uncultured eukaryote. RNAcentral's name for it is "partial 18S ribosomal RNA". It matches the Rfam family "Eukaryotic small subunit ribosomal RNA", at positions 1470 to 1796 of the family's 1831-position model. The record is from RNAcentral.